RNAcentral lists this unclassified non-coding RNA (276 nucleotides) under rhizosphere metagenome. RNAcentral's name for it is "partial ribosomal RNA internal transcribed spacer region". The record is from RNAcentral.
GUAGGUGAACCUGCGGAAGGAUCAUUUCCGAACAAAACUUUAAUACCGACCCACCGUGUGCAAUGUUUUGGGUUUCCCUUUACUCCUUGCAGGUGAUACAGAUAUGUGUUUGGAAAAGAGAAAUCUUGCCCUAUAUAUAUAUAUAUCAUACUAUCAUCCUGUGGGGAGGCCUUUAUGAACUACCUUGAUUUAAAGGUUGAUGUAACCAUUUACUUAUACCAAAUGAAAAAUAAAGUAAUGAUACGACAACUUUUAACGGUGGAUCUCUUGGCUCGU